CAGUCACAUGUGUGUUCUCAUUCCAUGGAUGGACAAUGAAAGAUUGGAACAACACCAUUUUAAGCUGGCAUGUCAUGUUCAUACUCUUUUGGUAUGAAGAUAUGAUUUAAUUGCGAAUACUUUUUCACGGUUUGUCAUAUAUGUGUACGUGGCUUCAAGAAUUUAGAUCUAGCGGCUACUGGUGGUGUUGGCCCCAUGAAUCUUACUUUUUUUAAAGCUGGGUGAAGAAACGUUAGUUUCGUGCAACAAGAAACAACAAAUACUGCAAAUAAGUGUCAAUUUCGAACUGUGUAGAAAAAGGGGCAAAGUUGGUUUUGAGUGAAGACAAAUCUUCAAUACGCUAUCGCCUGUAUUGCUACCUCUGGCCGUCAUUAGCAGUGGGUUUGGUAGCAGAAAAGUUCAUGAAUUAAUGGAGUGAUUCUAUGUCAUGGCACUUUCAAAUCACAUGGAAUCCAUUACAAGUUUAAACGCAAGGUAUCACCGUCAGUGACAGGCACAUUUCUAGAUUGGCUUAACGCGUGCAGUCUGCACGCGCCAAAAAUUUUAGAGAAUAUCACAAGUUGUGAACAAGAGAUCCUGGUCCCUUGGCCCUCGUUCUCUCACCUCCAUGCCAGAUGGCCAUUAAGAAGGAUCAUAAAUAGUUUAUCUGCUUGCUAUCAUUGAAGGUAACUCGUGUUCUUAAAAGUAAGCACGACAGGCACAGAGCGACAAUGGCAACCUUCCUGCUUUUUUAUAAAAGGAUUGAGGAGACAAACAUUGGGGUUCCAGCGGUUUCCUUAGUCCAUGGAAGAAACUAAUAGGACGGGAAAUUCCAUCUUCAUCACUAACAAAAGAAAAGGCAUAUUUUUAAUUGGCUUAAUUGAUCUACUUUUCUGUCCGGGUUCACAAGUGUCAUGUAGCUGGCCACACCUCGAAAGGCUGCACGAAUCUAUUCAGUGAAUUGACAUGAAGUUGGAAAGCAGCACGAGCAAUACAUUCUGCUAUGAAAAGGAACUGUUUAAGGGCAUCGUCUUUGGAGAACGCUUUAACACUUUUGAUAGAUUCAUCCUUCAGGUUACAGGUAAAGAUGUACCUCAAUACAAAACACCCUUCGAAGAAGCUGGCCUGCUUUAAAUACUACUUCAAAACAUUAAAUAUUCUGGCUACAGAAAACCAACACGUUUUCAGAAAGCUUCAGUUGCAGGUGGCGUACUUGGAACGGUUUUGAACAUUGUUAGAACAAAGUGUUGCAGAUGCGUCUCAUGCCCUGGAGCAAAAGCCAGUAGUUGUAACACCCACUCGUGAACUGGCCAUUCUAAUUCACCGCGCGGCGUGUAAAUUCUCCUACAGUUCGGUUUUCAAGUCUGUGAUAAUAUGUGGAGGAAUUGUCACGAGCUAUCAUUAUAGAUCAGGAACAGUAAUGUAUGCCAAACAACUUAAGCUACGCGCUUUAAGUUCCCGAGAUGGCAUUCCUUACUAAAUCGCCAAUAUGUUCCGGUAUCUGACAGUUUUGAACCGCCAGAUUGCUCUAAUAAGUUGGCAUCUACUAAAUAUGUUUGCGCUAUCAAAUACCGGGGCGUAAUGGCGGUUUCGUAUUGAACAGCGGCUAUAGAACUUGACAUGCAGAGAUCAAGUUCUGUGCAAAUCGUUUGCAGUUUGAACAGGAGCGCCAAUAAGUGAGAUUCAGCUGUGGAAAUAUUAGGUAAUGGUACGACAAAUAGUGACAUCUAGCGGUGGAAAUUUAAGGUAUAUGGUACGCCAAAUAGUGCCAUCUGGCGGUGGAAAAGUAAGGUAAAUGGAACGCCAAACGGUGCCAUCUAGCGAUGAAAAAGUGAUUCGAAUGGUACGACCUGUAGUUCCAUCUUGCGGUGGAAAAGUGAGGCGAAUGGUACGCCGUAUAGUGGCAUCUCGCGGUAAAAAAGUGAGGUGAAUGGUACGCUAUCUAGGGGUCGGUAACACAGCUUGUAAUAAUUUAGUCACAUGAUAUUGUGACAGGAAAACAAAACAAGAAUUUUAAAUCACGGUAUAAAGCUUUUUUUGUCACGGUCUGCAAGGAAAUGACUCGGAAAUGGAAAUUAUGUCACUGUCUAUGUUCAACAACCAUUUGUGUAGCACCAGUAGGUAGGGAAAAUUUAAUUUGCAUUUCGUAAUUGUUUUGCCAGGGUUAUGCUGAGUGAACUUGCAGUUUUGGUAAAGUUAUUCAAGAUAAUUGCAAAUAGUAGUCCCAGAAUCAGAAGAAUUUUGUCUGACAUCUUUACUACGUGAACUUUAAAAGGCCUUGAUAUAUCAAAGGGCGCCCAAUGGAGAAAUUGUGCUUCUUCAACGAUCAAACUCAUCGAUUCCAACAGCCUGUUUGCAAACUUUCAGCCAAUGCGUUGCAAGGAAUGUAUUUCUAAUCCAGUCUUCGACACACUCAAUGCCAAGCUACCACCUUUCGAUACUUAAAAGCGAGGACCGAAUGGCACCUACACUUGGACUGGAUCGGACCGUUAUUUGGUCGAAUGGCUAGC
Daphnia carinata is the source of this 2489-nucleotide long non-coding RNA. RefSeq lists it as uncharacterized. Lineage: Eukaryota; Metazoa; Arthropoda; Branchiopoda; Diplostraca; Daphniidae. The transcript is spliced from 13 exons. The record is from RefSeq and is a predicted model, not a curated record.